Molecule: ribosomal RNA, 253 nt
Filed under: uncultured bacterium
Lineage: Bacteria
Description: partial 16S ribosomal RNA
Rfam family: Bacterial small subunit ribosomal RNA
Source: RNAcentral
UACGAAGGGGGCUAGCGUUGCUCGGAAUUACUGGGCGUAGAGCGCACGUAGGCGGCUUUCUAAGUCGGGGGUGAAAUCCUGGAGCUCAACUCCAGAACUGCCUUCGAUACUGGAGAGCUCGAGUCCGGGAGAGGUGAGUGGAACUGCGAGUGUAGAGGUGAAAUUCGUAGAUAUUCGCAAGAACACCAGUGGCGAAGGCGGCUCACUGGCCCGGUACUGACGCUGAGGUGCGAAAGCGUGGGGAGCAAACAGG